AAAAAAAAAAAAACAGAGGAUAACUGAUCAGAGGAUUUGUGCUCCACCCUGGUACAAGAUUUCCAAUUCUAACACAGUUUGCACAUUUAUGAGCUGAUCAAGGAGAAUGACAAAUUUUAAUCAAAGGAUAGCUACAUAAAUAGCUCUUGAUAUCAUGAAUGACAACAAUCUUCAUUGUUAUCACCCACAGCUGCCACAUUUAGCUUUCUCUUUCACUCCAAAUUAAAGGUAGCUCUCCUACAGAUCCAACAGAAAGCAACUAUACAACAAUCAUUCAUGACUGCCACUCUCUUCUCUCUCUUCCUCCUCUCCUUCCUCCUCCACCCGCUUCCCUCCACAGCCAACAUUCAUAAGGCCAACAGCCUCCUCAAAUCAAACCUCCUUACUGAACCCUCCUCCACUCUUCCUUCCAAACCCCACAAUGAGAACCCACCAACUGUUUUCUUUGAAGUAACUAAACCUAUCAAUGUUCCCAAGGUUAAAUCUUGUGCUUACACUGUUCUCCAGCAUGAUUUUGGCUCUACCUAUGGCAAAUCUCCAGUUCUUGUAAACUACACCCCUCCCUCUCAUUGCCCAUCUCAUCACUUCUCCAAAAUUGUCCUUGAAUGGAAUGCAACUUCUAAAGGAAGGCAAUUUGAUCGCAUUUUUGGGGUUUGGUUAGGCGGUGUAGAGCUUCUCAGAAGCUGCACUGCGGAGCCAAGAGCAACUGGAAUUUUGUGGUCUGUGCAGAAGGACAUAACAAGGUACUAUUCGUUGCUUGUUAAGAAUGAGACUCAAGAACUUGCUGUUUAUAUUGGUAAUAUUGUUGAUAAUACCUAUACUGGGGUUUACCAUGUGAAUAUAACUCUUCAUUUUUAUCCUGCUGAAGAGAGAGUGAGAUAUAAUGGGGAUGGCUUAAAUAAUAUGAAAGGUGCACAUGUUUCUAAGCCUGAUUUGAUCUUACCCUUUUCGAGAAAUCUGCCAUUAAAUGAUGGGUUGUGGUUUGAAAUUGAGAAUUCGACUGCUACGCAAUCUAAGGAAUUUGAGAUUCCUCAAAAUGUGUACAGGGCUGUACUAGAGGUUUAUGUUUCUUUUCAUGAGAAUGAUGAAUUUUGGUAUUCAAAUUAUCCCAACGAGUAUAUCAUUGCGAAUAAUCUUACCGGUAGCCCUGGAAAUGGUCCUUUUAGGGAGGUUGUGGUUAGUCUUGAUGCAGCGGUUGUUGGUGCAGUUUGGCCUUUUACUGUUAUUUAUACAGGUGGGAUCAAUCCUCUCCUGUGGAGACCCAUUACUGGCAUUGGUUCAUUCAAUCUCCCGUCUUAUGAUAUUGAAAUUACUCCAUUCUUAGGGACUAUAUUGGAUGGAAAGACCCAUGAGUUUGGUUUCAGUGUCACCAAUGCUUUGAAUGUUUGGUACAUUGAUGCAAAUUUGCAUCUUUGGUUGGACCAUAAGAGCACAAAAACUGAAGGGAAGGUCUUGACACAUGAGAGUAAGCCUCUUGUUUUUUCUUUGGUGUCCAAUUUCAAGGAUUUGAAUGGAACAUUCUUGUCAACAGCACGAAGGUCUAUAUCCUCAAAUGGAUGGGUAAAGUCCUCCUUUGGGAAGAUAACUACUGGUUUUAAUCAACACUUCAGUUACAGCAACUCAAUGGAGAUGGGUGAGGAUGGGAAUUUGCAGAUUGUGAAUCAGACAAUUAGUUUUAAUGACAGUGUUUCUAUCAGAAAACUUACCUCUUCUGUUCAUUCAUUUAGGUCAGUAAAAGACUUCAGUUUGGACAUGUACUCUAACUUUUUUGAUCAAGGAAAUGGCACUUCCUUUUAUGUAACAAACCUCACACUGGGAUUCAAUGAGAAGAAAUCAAAAGAUGCUGAUUUUGGAUUUGGGACCAGCUCUCUUAAAAAUCUACAGAGUGCGCAAGGUGUGAUGGUUGUAAAGAACAACUUGGUGGUCAGUGGAGUGGGAAGUACACAGCAGGCCUACAAAUAUGAUGGUAGUGGUGAUAAUUUUUGCUACUUCAGGGAUAUAAGCAGCUCAAACUACACCAUUAUUGCUGACAAAGUGAUAAACAAAUGUAAUAAAAAGAAACAGUCUCACAUCGGUUUUGGGUUUAGUAGUUGGUGGCCAUUUCCCACUCGAAGGGCUUCUCUAGCAUCUGAGUUUGUGGAUAACAAUGGAGUUUAACGAUUUGGCUCCAUUCUUUCUUAAUUACUUCAUGCAGGAAUUUGUCUCUUUAGAUGCUUCGGAGGUUUCUGAUUGAUGGGUAAUCUGCAAACCAAAUAAAAUUGCAAGUAUGUAGUAGUCUUUGUAGGCAACUUUGUGUAUAUACUUGUAUCUUUUCUCUCAAUAAUCUGCUUCUAAAUGGACGGGAUUUAUAUUUAAUGUGGAUGGGGCAGAAAGUUCAUUGUUUUAGCAUACAUUUUCCCCAAACAUAAGGAAUUUAUAAUAGGUUUUGGCCUAAAGCUGAACUUUACAAAUAAUUUUACUCACUAAUUAGUAUUUCACUUUUAUGAGAAUUUAAUUUGAUCAAGUUACAAGGGCAAUGCUAUAGCUAACUAGCUUUCUUUGUCAUGUUCAAAGAUGAAUGGAAGUAGGAGAUGCUUAUGUUGUAAUCCUUGUAUUUUUGGUAUUAUUCAAAAGCAAUAGCUGUCCAAGUUGAAGCUUUUGGGCCUCUUGGAUCAGGUUAUGACAAUGGAAUUUGGAUAGUUCUUCAAGUGACCUUCAGAGCAUGAACUUUAU
Molecule: unclassified non-coding RNA, 2712 nt
Filed under: Hevea brasiliensis (rubber tree)
Lineage: Eukaryota; Viridiplantae; Streptophyta; Magnoliopsida; Malpighiales; Euphorbiaceae
Source: RNAcentral